Molecule: long non-coding RNA, 410 nt
Filed under: Oryza brachyantha (malo sina)
Lineage: Eukaryota; Viridiplantae; Streptophyta; Magnoliopsida; Poales; Poaceae
Description: long non-coding RNA (OBRA_LNC002541)
Source: RNAcentral
GUGGGACGCUGGGCGGCGGCGGCGUGAGCACUGGGCAAAUUGCUAAAAUUUGAAAACUCAGAUGCCAAACUGUUGGAGGCAGAUUUUUUUAGAUUUUGCUAAAAAACAGAGAUGACAAGUUUGGAUGGGGAGCUGUUGGAGUUGCUCUAAUUAUGCUCAAAAGAUUCGUCUCACGAUUUUUCCUAUAACUAUGUAAUUAGUUUUUAUUUCAUCUAUGUUUAUGCUUUAUUUAGGUGCUCAAAGAUCAGAUGGGAUAUUUUUGGAAAAAAAUUUAAGAAAAAUGUCAGUAGCCUCUAGAAUGUGAACAUGACAGUAACACGCAUAGUACUGGUAUAGUACACAGGGCAGGCUCUUCCAAUUAUAUACUCUCUUUGUUUCAAAAUAAACGUGCCAUUCCUAUUAGAGAGCAC